Molecule: unclassified non-coding RNA, 1096 nt
Filed under: Dendronephthya gigantea
Lineage: Eukaryota; Metazoa; Cnidaria; Anthozoa; Malacalcyonacea; Nephtheidae
Description: uncharacterized LOC114532518, transcript variant X1
Source: RNAcentral
AGUAAGUUGUUUGAGACAGUUCAAAGUCAUAUAAUGUCCGUUGCGCUGUUACCUCAUUCCUGUUUAUAUUUAUAAGAUGAAGUUUCAGCAAUAGAUUAACGAUUAUAGAAUAGAUAAGAUUAUUCGAAGACUACGUUUCUCGAUUUUGCAAUGAAUAUAAUGAUGCAGAUAUUAUAUUUCAGUAAAGUAGAUUGAAAUAUGUUUCUGUGACAGGCGGGUUUAUAUGUACCAGAUUUGAUACAACAAUUCGCAAGUUUUGAAAACUCAAAUCAAUCACUCAGAUCGUUCCAAUCACUAUUAGCUUUCAAGCGAGUGUAAAAAUAUCGAAAUUAAGAACAGGAUGUGUGAUUUAGAUUUGAAGUAACCAUGAAAUUUGCCGUUCGCUGUCUUUGACACCUUGUCUUUGAGGUCGUGUGGUUAUCACGGCGAGGAUAGUCGUUCAGUGAGAACAGCUUGUAUCUUAGUCGUUCUAAACAAAGCUGAAUGUUCGCGAAUAAAUAUUUUUAAAGUUUAGCGGUGAAAUUACAAGCUCUAGUGGUUUUCUGACGGCUUUAAAGUUCAACAUCCUUUGGAGUUGGGUCAUUGAGCCAUUGACGUAGGUAGACUAAUAGGCUAAGUCCUCAAUAUAUGUAAUGUUGUUUACGAGAAACACCGAAAGCACGCGAGCAAUGCGUCGAGAUCUUUCGUCCUUUACAACUUCAAGGGGCGACAAGUGACGACUGACGACGACGAGAGAACGAAGAUGAUUCGUGAUGCAGCUCAUGUCGCAAUCAUUAAAAGCAUUACAAAGCACUUUAUGAGCAGUGUGCGUGCGAGUAUACCAUAUCCUAUUAUUGACAGCACUUGUAAGUAACACGAGCCACGAACAUGUAACAUAGUUUAAACACAUAUAAAACAUCACUCGAUAUUAAGGUCACAAUCCAAGGACAAUACUCCGUCGAAGUGUCUGUACCUCUGUGGCAUUUGCUGCAUAGAAUAUACUGCUUAUUGAUUGUAAGACUUUAAUGCAAGAAAACAAAUCAACGCUGAACGAUAACAUGACUGGAGUAAGGGAAUACAUCUGCCUUCAUUUUGGUGCCGACGAAGCGCGCACGAC